AUUGAACGCUGGCGGCAUGCUUUACACAUGCAAGUCGAGCGGCAGCGCGGGGGCAACCCUGGCGGCGAGCGGCGAACGGGUGAGUAAUGCAUCGGAACGUGUCCGGGAGUGGGGGAUAACGCCGCGAAAGCGGCGCUAAUACCGCAUAUUCUCUGAGGAGGAAAGCGGGGGACUCGCAAGGGCCUCGCGCUCGCGGAGCGGCCGAUGUCCGAUUAGGUGGUUGGUGGGGUAAUGGCCUACCAAGCCUGCGAUCGGUAGCUGGUCUGAGAGGAUGAUCAGCCACACUGGGACUGGGACACGGCCCAGACUCCUACGGGAGGCAGCAGUGGGGAAUUUUGGACAAUGGGGGCAACCCUGAUCCAGCCAUGCCGCGUGCGGGAAGAAGGCCUUCGGGUUGUAAACCGCUUUUAGCCGGGAAGAAAAGGCCACGGAUAACACCCGUGGUUCUUGACGGUACUGGCGGAAUAAGCACCGGCUAACUACGUGCCAGCAGCCGCAGUAA
Molecule: ribosomal RNA, 502 nt
Filed under: uncultured bacterium
Lineage: Bacteria
Description: partial 16S ribosomal RNA
Rfam family: Bacterial small subunit ribosomal RNA
Source: RNAcentral